GGAAGGAUCAUUACUAAAUAAUCCAUAUGGGUUUUAAUCCAUAUCCACCUCUUGUGCAAUGUUUACUGUUAGUUCCCUCUUGGUGUUUAGAGUUAGUACGGGCCUUUGGUUCUACUGCUCUCUUCCCCGGGAGGUGAACACUUAUUACAAACCCUUUAUUUGUGCCUGUCUUAUAAUGUGCUGAAAAGCAAAAAUUAUAAUACAACUUUCAACAACGGAUCUCUUGGCUCCCACAACGAUGAAGAGCGCAGCGAAAUGCGAUACGUAGUGUGAAUUGCAGAAUUCCGUGAAUCAUCGAAUCCUCGAACGCAUAUUGCGCUCUCAGGGCCUUCCUGAGAGCAUGCCUGUUUGAGUAUCAGGGUCAAACUCAGCACUUUAUUGUGUUGGAUCUGGACUUUCCACGGUUCUAACAAAACCGCGAAGUCUUAAAUGUAGAAUCACAGGGCUAUUGAUUGCCUUAACCAUAGUUUGGUCAUUUGCAUUUUGCAAUUAGCUUACCUUGGUUAAAUCAAAGUCUUGUGGGCUUCUGGCGUUGGGCCACCUUCAGCUAGAAAAUCCAAGGGCUAACGCUCUUGAGCUUUUGAUCUCAAAUCAGGCAAGAUUACCCGCUGAACUUAAGCAUAUCAUUAAGCGGAGGAAAAGAAACUAACAAGGAUUCCCCUAGUAACGGCGAGUGAAGCGGGAAUAGCUCAAAUUUGAAAUCUGGGAGGGCUACCCUCUCCGAAUUGUAGUUUAAAGAAGUGUUUUCGGCUUGCAUGCUCGGGGUAAGUGGUCUGGAACGACCUGUCAGAGAGGGUGAGAACCCCGUCUUUACUCGAGUAUUGCGGCUAUGUGAUGCACUUUCAACGAGUCGGGUUGUUUGGGAAUGCAGCCCAAAAUAGGUGGUAAAUCUCAUCUAAAGCUAAAUACCGGUGGGAGACCGAUAGCGAACAAGUACCGUGAGGGAAAGAUGAAAAGAACUUUGAAAAGAGAGUCAAAUAGUACGUGAAAUUGUUGAAAGGGAAACGAUUGAAGUCAGUGUUGCGUUUAGAUAUUCAGCCGGGAGGACGUGUUCAGGCGUGUUAGGAUGAGCGUAAGCCGUCUUGCAUGGUUGGGCAAGUUCAACCGCGUGCACUUAUCUAAAUGCAGGUCAACAUCAGUUUCGGCUGACGUAAAAUGGCUUUGGGAAGGUAGCGAUGCUCUCGGGUGUCGUGUUAUAGACCAAGGCACAUGCGUCGGUUGGGACUGAGGAUCGCAGUGCGAGCUUUCGGGCUGGGCCAGCAGUGGCUUUUGGGCUCCCAAUCUUUGGCUGCUUGCAGACUAAGGUUGCAGAGUUUAGAACCCCGCUGUGAUGCCACAAUCGCGCUUAGGAUGUUGACGAAAUGGCUUUAAACGACCCGUCUUGAAACACGGACCAAGGAGUCAAACAAAUAUGCGAGUUUUUGGGUGUCAAACCCGAAAGCGUAAUGAAAGUGAAUGCAGGUGGGAUCCCGCAAGGGUGCACCAUCGACCGGCCUGGAUUUUUAAUGAUGGGUCUGAGUAAGAGCAUAUCUGUUUGGACCCGAAAGAUGGUGAACUAUGCCUGAAUAGGGUGAAGCCAGAGGAAACUCUGGUGGAGGCUCGUAGCGGUUCUGACGUGCAAAUCGAUCGUCAAAUUUGGGUAUAGGGGCGAAAGACUAAUCGAACCAUCUAGUAGCUGGUUCCCUC
This 1686-nucleotide unclassified non-coding RNA is filed under the name uncultured fungus. Its description in RNAcentral is "sequence contains 18S rRNA gene, ITS1, 5.8S rRNA gene, ITS2, 28S rRNA gene". The stretch from base 582 to 1686 matches the Rfam family "Eukaryotic large subunit ribosomal RNA", at positions 1 to 961 of the family's 3401-position model. Lineage: Eukaryota; Fungi. The record is from RNAcentral.